This 454-nucleotide ribosomal RNA is filed under the name uncultured bacterium. RNAcentral describes it as "bacterial SSU rRNA". It matches the Rfam family "Bacterial small subunit ribosomal RNA", at positions 340 to 786 of the family's 1533-position model. The record is from RNAcentral.
UACGGGAGGCAGCAGUGGGGAAUAUUGCACAAUGGGCGCAAGCCUGAUGCAGCCAUGCCGCGUGUAUGAAGAAGGCCUUCGGGUUGUAAAGUACUUUCAGUCGUGAGGAAGGUGUUAAGGUUAAUAACCUUAGCAAUUGACGUUAGCGACAGAAGAAGCACCGGCUAACUCCGUGCCAGCAGCCGCGGUAAUACGGAGGGUGCGAGCGUUAAUCGGAAUUACUGGGCUAAAGGGCACGCAGGCGGUUAAUUAAGUUGGAUGUGAAAUCCCCGGGCUUAACCUGGGAAUGGCAUUCAAGACUGGUUAGCUAGAGUCUUGUAGAGGGGGUAGAAUUCCAUGUGUAGCGGUGAAAUGCGUAGAGAUGUGGAGGAAUACCGGUGGCGAAGGCGGCCCCUGGACAAAGGACUGACGCUCGAUGUGCGAAAGCGUGGGGAGCAAACGAGGAUUAGAUACC